GCUGGCGGCAUGCCUUCACAUGGCAAGUCGAACGGCAGCGCGGGAGCAAUCCUGGCGGCGAGUGGCGAACGGGUGAGUAAUACAUCGGAACGUGCCCAAUCGUGGGGGAUAACGCAGCGAAAGCUGUGCUAAUACCGCAUACGAUCUACGGAUGAAAGCAGGGGAUCGCAAGACCUUGCGCGAAUGGAGCGGCCGAUGGCAGAUUAGGUAGUUGGUGAGGUAAAGGCUCACCAAGCCUUCGAUCUGUAGCUGGUCUGAGAGGACGACCAGCCACACUGGGACUGAGACACGGCCCAGACUCCUACGGGAGGCAGCAGUGGGGAAUUUUGGACAAUGGGCGAAAGCCUGAUCCAGCCAUGCCGCGUGCAGGAUGAAGGCCUUCGGGUUGUAAACUGCUUUUGUACNGAACGAAACGGCCUUUUCUAAUAAAGAGGGCUAAUGACGGUACCGUAAGAAUAAGCACCGGCUAACUACNUGCCANCAGCCGCGGUAAUACGUAAGGU
This 503-nucleotide ribosomal RNA is filed under the name uncultured bacterium. RNAcentral describes it as "bacterial SSU rRNA". It matches the Rfam family "Bacterial small subunit ribosomal RNA", at positions 35 to 533 of the family's 1533-position model. The record is from RNAcentral.